This 87-nucleotide transfer RNA is filed under the name Pseudobdellovibrionaceae bacterium. RNAcentral's name for it is "Bdellovibrionaceae bacterium tRNA-Ser". It matches the Rfam family "tRNA". From Rfam's summary of the family: Transfer RNA (tRNA) molecules are approximately 80 nucleotides in length. The record is from RNAcentral. RNAcentral also lists the same sequence under 2 other names. Lineage: Bacteria; Pseudomonadati; Bdellovibrionota; Bdellovibrionia; Bdellovibrionales; Pseudobdellovibrionaceae.
GGAGAGGUGGCUGAGUGGUUGAAAGCGGCGGUCUUGAAAACCGUUGUCCCCGCAAGGGGACCGGGGGUUCGAAUCCCUCCCUCUCCG